GAGGAAUAUUGCACAAUGGAGGAAACUCUGAUGCAGCAACGCCGCGUGGAGGAUGACGCAUUUCGGUGUGUAAACUCCUUUUAUUAGGGAAGAUUAUGACGGUACCUAAUGAAUAAGCACCGGCUAACUCCGUGCCAGCAGCCGCGGUAAUACGGAGGGUGCAAGCGUUACUCGGAAUCACUGGGCGUAAAGGGUGCGUAGGCUGGCUUCUAAGUCAGAUGUGAAAUCCAAUGGCUCAACCAUUGGACUGCAUUUGAAACUGGGAGCCUAGAGUUCAGAAGGGGCAGAUGGAAUUAGUGGUGUAGGGGUAAAAUCCGUAGAUAUCACUAGGAAUAUCAAAAGCGAAGGCGAUCUGCUGGGAUGAUACUGACGCUGAGGCACGAAAGCGUGGGGAGCAAAC
This 400-nucleotide ribosomal RNA is filed under the name uncultured bacterium. RNAcentral's name for it is "bacterial SSU rRNA". It matches the Rfam family "Bacterial small subunit ribosomal RNA", at positions 356 to 773 of the family's 1533-position model. The record is from RNAcentral.